This 425-nucleotide ribosomal RNA is filed under the name uncultured bacterium. RNAcentral describes it as "bacterial SSU rRNA". It matches the Rfam family "Bacterial small subunit ribosomal RNA", at positions 356 to 773 of the family's 1533-position model. The record is from RNAcentral.
GGGGAAUUUUGGACAAUGGGCGAAAGCCUGAUCCAGCCAUGCCGCGUGAGUGAAGAAGGCCUUCGGGUUGUAAAGCUCUUUCGGCGGGGAAGAAAUCGCAUUCACUAAUACUGGAUGUGGAUGACGGUACCCGAACAAGAAGCACCGGCUAACUACGUGCCAGCAGCCGCGGUAAUACGUAGGGUGCGAGCGUUAAUCGGAAUUACUGGGCGUAAAGCGUGCGCAGGCGGUUUUGUAAGUCAGAUGUGAAAUCCCCGGGCUCAACCUGGGAACUGCAUUUGAGACUGCAAGGCUAGAGUACGGCAGAGGGGGGUGGAAUUCCACGUGUAGCAGUGAAAUGCGUAGAGAUGUGGAGGAACACCGAUGGCGAAGGCAGCCCCCUGGGCCAAUACUGACGCUCAUGCACGAAAGCGUGGGGAGCAAAC